This 82-nucleotide ribosomal RNA is filed under the name Phlebotomus papatasi. RNAcentral describes it as "partial 5.8S ribosomal RNA". Lineage: Eukaryota; Metazoa; Arthropoda; Insecta; Diptera; Psychodidae. The record is from RNAcentral.
GACUUUUGACGCAUAUUGCGGUCCAUGCAAAAGUUUAAAUUUUUGUUUAAACUGCAUGGACCACGUAUGGUUGAGUGUCGUA